GCCGCUCGAAACUUUGCACACCUCUACGCGGUGGGCGGCAGGCAACACAGUGAUGUGACUAAGGGGCAGAG
RNAcentral lists this ribozyme (71 nucleotides) under unclassified sequences. Its description in RNAcentral is "HDV ribozyme from F. prausnitzii". It matches the Rfam family "HDV ribozyme from F. prausnitzii". The record is from RNAcentral.